This 252-nucleotide ribosomal RNA is filed under the name uncultured bacterium. RNAcentral describes it as "partial 16S ribosomal RNA". It matches the Rfam family "Bacterial small subunit ribosomal RNA", at positions 524 to 776 of the family's 1533-position model. The record is from RNAcentral.
UACGUAGGUCCCGAGCGUUGUCCGGAUUUAUUGGGUUUAAAGGGUGCGUAGGCGGGCCUUUAAGUCAGCGGUAAAAAUUCGGGGCUCAACCCCGUCCGGCCGUUGAAACUGGGGGCCUUGAGUGGGCGAGAAGAAGGCGGAAUGCGUGGUGUAGCGGUGAAAUGCAUAGAUAUCACGCAGAACCCCGAUUGCGAAGGCAGCCUUCCGGCGCCCUACUGACGCUGAGGCACGAAAGUGCGGGGAUCGAACAGG